This is a long non-coding RNA of Rhincodon typus (whale shark), 1138 nucleotides long. RefSeq lists it as uncharacterized. The record is from RefSeq and is a predicted model, not a curated record. Lineage: Eukaryota; Metazoa; Chordata; Chondrichthyes; Orectolobiformes; Rhincodontidae. The transcript has 4 exons.
AUAUGUUCUAGAGUCCAGUGGUUCUGGACUGAACAUUAGUGAAGAGAUUAUUGGUGAACAGUGUUGUUUCAAGACACAGAUGAAGAUUUUUUUCAGAGCUUCACUGACGGUUGAGGAGAGGCUAAAGAGUGCCCACUGUGUUUUCAUCAAUCGCAGAUUCCCUGUCACUGCUUUAGGUGCGAUCGCUUGAUUUAGCCAAGACUAAGGAUGAACCUCAGUCCCCACUUGGUGGAAUGAAUAAGUCAAUCACUACGGGCAGAUUCUUCCCAAGCCCCUACCAACAUGGACUCUGGCAGGAAAUGUGGGACAAUUUGUGACAAGUCAAUUUUAUGCAGGAACAAAGCCAGACAACUUGUCGCACGGUCAGCAGUCAUCUGUCAAGAGAUGGUCAUGUUGUUGAAGUUCAAAACCCAUAAGGAUGACACAGAGGGCUACCAGGAAGGAGAUGUGGAGAUUUGAAGGUUUACCACGUCAGACAGACAGAGCCUGAGACUCACUGUUCAAGGAGUGACUGUUGUUGCAGUCCUAACCUCAGCCGUCAGCCAAAUACUCCAGUUCUUCUGUCAGAGGCUGUCGCACGGCCUGGCUCGGUAUGAAUCAUAGGCUUCAACAAAUGGGAAGGCAUUUAAAUUGGUGAUGGCAGUUUAACAGCAUGUGUGACAGCCAAAUUGGGAGACAUACAGAAGAGGAUGCUACAGGAAGAAGAGACUUAUCAAUAAAACAAUAGCGGAAAAGUGAGAAACAAUCAGAAAAGUGCAAACAGUGCAGUAAGAAAAAUCCACAUAGAGAGAAAAAGAGUGGAAUUCAAAGAACAGCAAGCGCAAUAGAAAAAAAAUUUAGAGACUGAACAAAAAAACAGUCAAAAACAAGACAGACCCAACCAUUUGUCUUAAGAAACUCAAUGUGUGAUCAUCAAGUUUUACAUAUGAGACUGUUACUGGCAAGUUGCUGAUGGUGCUUUUGUGUUAAGUAUGGUGUACCAUACAGACAAUAAGUUGAAUCUAUGUUUUUUCUAUCUGAUUAUAUUUUCUCUGUGCUUGCAGGUUGAAUUUUGACAGUUUAUUUAUUAAACUUUGUACAAUUUGUACUCCUGAAAUCGUAUGACAGGGCAUGUGACACAUCGACAUCCAUACACAAU